Molecule: unclassified non-coding RNA, 238 nt
Filed under: soil metagenome
Description: partial contains small subunit ribosomal RNA, internal transcribed spacer 1, and 5.8S ribosomal RNA
Source: RNAcentral
UCUCCGUUGGUGAACCAGCGGAGGGAUCAUUGCUGGAACGCGCCCCUGGCGCACCCAGAAACCCUUUGUGAACUUAUACCUUACUGUUGCCUCGGCGCAGGCCGGCCCCCCCACGGGGGCCCCUCGGAGACGAGGAGCAGGCCCGCCGGCGGCCUAGUUAACUCUUGUUUUUACACUGAAACUCUGAGAAACAAACAUAAAUGAAUCAAAACUUUCAACAACGGAUCUCUUGGUUCUG